Zingiber officinale is the source of this 292-nucleotide long non-coding RNA. RefSeq lists it as uncharacterized. NCBI's taxonomy places the organism in Eukaryota, Viridiplantae, Streptophyta, Magnoliopsida, Zingiberales, Zingiberaceae. The transcript has 3 exons. The record is from RefSeq and is a predicted model, not a curated record.
AGGGCACAUUUCUGUUAGCAACAUGGCAUGGAAUUCAAGUUGCUGUUAAAAUGUUUGGUGAAGAAGUCAUGACCAAUGAGGAUAAAGUGAGUGCGUUUAUUGAUGAGCUUGCCUUACUUCAAAAAAUAAGGCAUCCAAAUGUAGUGCAGUUCCUAGGAGCUGUUACUCAAAGUAGUCCAAUGAUGAUUGUCACCGAGUAUUUACCAAAGGGUGAUCUUCGUGCUUAUUUGAAUAAGAAGCGCCCAAGUUAGAAGAUGGCGAUCAAGUUUGCACUUGAUAUUGCUAGAUGGAU